AACUAAAAUUGUUGAAGUUAAAAAGCUCGUAGUUGAAUGUCUGCUCUGGACGUAGGGGGCCGCUCACGUGGUCCGCCAUGCGCACCCGGCAUUCUGCUUGCCACUCGGGGGUUGGUUUUAACCGGUCGGCCCCCGGUGGAUGGCGGUUAUCGCUUUACAAAAAUUAGAGUGCUCAAAGCGGGCUUUGAAAGGCUCGGAUAGUAAUGCACUAUACGAUGGAACAUGACUUCGGCUCUAGGUUCGUUGGGGAUAGAUGGAGACUGAGGUAAUGAUUAAUAGGAGCAGACGGGGGCAUUCGUAUUCCGAUGCUAGAGGUGAAGUUCUUGGAGCGUCGGAAGACGACCCACUGCGAAAGCAUUUGCCAAGAAUGCUUCCCUUAACCAAGAACGAAAGUCAGAGGCUCAAAGAAGAUUAGAUACCUUUGUAGUUCUGACCCUAAACGAUGCCCGCCAGCGAUACGGCUGCGUACAAAGGUGACGCGCCGGGCAGCUUGCCCGGGAAACCUGAGUUCAGGCUCCGGGGGAAGAGUGGUUGCAAAGCUGAAACUUAAAGGAAUAAAUG
Molecule: non-coding RNA, 561 nt
Organism: Trichonephila inaurata madagascariensis
Lineage: Eukaryota; Metazoa; Arthropoda; Arachnida; Araneae; Nephilidae
Source: the annotation of a GenBank genome assembly